RNAcentral lists this ribosomal RNA (207 nucleotides) under uncultured bacterium. RNAcentral's name for it is "partial 16S ribosomal RNA". It matches the Rfam family "Bacterial small subunit ribosomal RNA", at positions 568 to 774 of the family's 1533-position model. The record is from RNAcentral.
CGUGUAGGUUGUCCGGCCAGUCGGGUGUGAAAUCCUAUGGCUCAACCAUAGAACUGCAUUCGAUACUACCGGACUGGAGUCCAAGAGAGGGAAGCGGAAUUCCCAGUGUAGGAGUGAAAUCCGUAGAUAUUGGGAGGAACACCAGCAGCGAAAGCGGCUUCCUGGCUUGGCACUGACACUGAGACGCGAAAGCGUGGGGAGCAAACA